CUUACCAUGCAGUCGAACGAUGACCCGGUGCUUGCACCGGUGAUUAGUGGCGAACGGGUGAGUAACACGUGAGUAACCUGCCCUUAACUCUGGGAUAAGCCUGGGAAACUGGGUCUAAUACCGGAUAUGACUCCUCAUCGCAUGGUGGGGGGUGGAAAGCUUUAUUGUGGUUUUGGAUGGACUCGCGGCCUAUCAGCUUGUUGGUGAGGUAAUGGCUCACCAAGGCGACGACGGGUAGCCGGCCUGAGAGGGUGACCGGCCACACUGGGACUGAGACACGGCCCAGACUCCUACUGGAGGCAGCAGUGGGGAAUAUUGCACAAUGGGCGCAAGCCUGAUGCAGCGACU
RNAcentral lists this ribosomal RNA (348 nucleotides) under actinobacterium CSC1. RNAcentral's name for it is "bacterial SSU rRNA". It matches the Rfam family "Bacterial small subunit ribosomal RNA", at positions 48 to 395 of the family's 1533-position model. Lineage: Bacteria; Bacillati; Actinomycetota; Actinomycetes. The record is from RNAcentral.